CCUACGGGAGGCAGCAGUGAGGAAUAUUGGUCAAUGGGCGGAAGCCUGAACCAGCCAAGUCGCGUGAGGGAUUAAGGCCCUGCAGGUCGUAAACCUCUUUUGCCGGGGAGCAGUGGUCCGGACGCGUCCGGACCGGGAGAGUACCCGGAGAAAAAGCAUCGGCUAACUCCGUGCCAGCAGCCGCGGUAAUACGGAGGAUGCGAGCGUUAUCCGGAUUUAUUGGGUUUAAAGGGUGCGCAGGCGGAAGAUCAAGUCAGCGGUAAAAUUGAGAGGCUCAACCUCUUCGAGCCGUUGAAACUGGUUUCCUUGAGUGAGCGAGAAGUAUGCGGAAUGCGUGGUGUAGCGGUGAAAUGCAUAGAUAUCACGCAGAACUCCGAUUGCGAAGGCAGCAUACCGGCGCUCAACUGACGCUCAUGCACGAAAGUGUGGGUAUCGAACAGGAUUAGAUACCCCUGUAGUC
RNAcentral lists this ribosomal RNA (460 nucleotides) under uncultured bacterium. RNAcentral describes it as "partial 16S ribosomal RNA". It matches the Rfam family "Bacterial small subunit ribosomal RNA", at positions 338 to 795 of the family's 1533-position model. The record is from RNAcentral.